This 433-nucleotide ribosomal RNA is filed under the name uncultured bacterium. Its description in RNAcentral is "partial 16S ribosomal RNA". It matches the Rfam family "Bacterial small subunit ribosomal RNA", at positions 29 to 507 of the family's 1533-position model. The record is from RNAcentral.
AACGAACGCUGGCGGCAUGCCUAAUACAUGCAAGUCGAACGAGAUCUUCGGAUCUAGUGGCGCACGGGUGCGUAACGCGUGGGAAUCUGCCCUUGGGUUCGGAAUAACGUCGGGAAACUGACGCUAAUACCGGAUGAUGACGUAAGUCCAAAGAUUUAUCGCCCAGGGAUGAGCCCGCGUAGGAUUAGCUAGUUGGUGGGGUAAAGGCCUACCAAGGCGACGAUCCUUAGCUGGUCUGAGAGGAUGAUCAGCCACACUGGGACUGAGACACGGCCCAGACUCCUACGGGAGGCAGCAGUAGGGAAUAUUGGACAAUGGGGGCAACCCUGAUCCAGCAAUGCCGCGUGAGUGAUGAAGGCCUUAGGGUUGUAAAGCUCUUUUACCCGGGAUGAUAAUGACAGUACCGGGAGAAUAAGCCCCGGCUAACUCCGUG